This 468-nucleotide ribosomal RNA is filed under the name uncultured bacterium. RNAcentral describes it as "partial 16S ribosomal RNA". It matches the Rfam family "Bacterial small subunit ribosomal RNA", at positions 28 to 507 of the family's 1533-position model. The record is from RNAcentral.
GACGAACGCUGGCGGCGUGCUUAACACAUGCAAGUCGAACGGUUAAUCCCUCUUUUUGUGUUUUUCUCGUUUCGCGCCCCUGUGUGUCACACGUGCCUCCCCUCCCCUUCACUUUGUUAUAUCUUCUUGAACCUGGCUCUCAUCCCUUAUUUCAUCUCCUCCUUCUUUGUGUGUCUUGGAAUCUUUCGGCGGUUGGGUUUGGACUCGCUGCUUUUCAGUUUUUUGGUGGGGUAGUGGCUUACCAAGGCUUUGACGGGUAGCCGGCUUGAGAGGGUGACCGGCCACAUUGGGACUGAGAGACGGCACAGACUCCUACGGGAGGCAGCAGUGGGGAAUAUUGCACAAUGGGCGGAAGCCUGAUGCAGCAACGCCGCGUGCGGGAUGAAGGCCUUCGGGUUGUAAACCGCUUUCGGCUGUGACGAAGCGUGAGUGACGGUAAUGGGAAAAGAAGCACCGGCUAACUACGUG